Molecule: ribosomal RNA, 429 nt
Filed under: Bacteroidota bacterium
Lineage: Bacteria; Pseudomonadati; Bacteroidota
Description: Bacteroidetes bacterium partial 16S ribosomal RNA
Rfam family: Bacterial small subunit ribosomal RNA
Source: RNAcentral
UAGGGAAUCUUCCGCAAUGGACGCAAGUCUGUCGGAGCAACGCCGCGUGAGUGAAGAAGGAUUUCGGUUCGUAAAACUCUGUUGUUAGAGAAGAACAGCGCAUAGAGUAACUGUUAUGCGUGUGACGGUAUCUAACCAGAAAGCCACGGCUAACUACGUGCCAGCAGCCGCGGUAAUACGUAGGUGGCAAGCGUUGUCCGGUUUUAUUGGGCGUAAAGCGAGCGCAGGCGGUCAAUUAAGUCUGAUGUGAAAGCCCCCGGCUCAACCGGGGGGGGUCAUUAGAAACUGGUUGUCUUGGGUGCAGAAGAGGGGAGGGGGAUUCCGUGUGUAGCGGUGAGAUGCGUAGAUAUCUGGAGGAACACCAGUGGUGAAGGCGACUCUCUGGUCUGUAACUGACGCUGAGGCUCGAGAGCGUGGGUAGCAAACAGG